RNAcentral lists this ribosomal RNA (468 nucleotides) under uncultured bacterium. RNAcentral describes it as "partial 16S ribosomal RNA". It matches the Rfam family "Bacterial small subunit ribosomal RNA", at positions 28 to 507 of the family's 1533-position model. The record is from RNAcentral.
GACGAACGCUGGCGGCGUGCUUAACACAUGCAAGUCGAACGGAAAGGCCCUGCUUUUGUGGGGUGCUCGAGUGGCGAACGGGUGAGUAACACGUGAGUAACCUGCCCUUGACUUUGGGAUAACUUCAGGAAACUGGGGCUAAUACCGGAUAGGAGCUCCUGCUGCAUGGUGGGGGUUGGAAAGUUUCGGCGGUUGGGGAUGGACUCGCGGCUUAUCAGCUUGGUGGUGGGGUAGUGGCUUACCAAGGCUUUGACGGGUAGCCGGCCUGAGAGGGUGACCGGCCACAUUGGGACUGAGAUGCGGCCCAGACUCCUACGGGAGGCAGCAGUGGGGAAUAUUGCACAAUGGGCGGAAGCCUGAUGCAGCAACGCCGCGUGCGGGAUGACGGCCUUCGGGUUGUAAACCGCUUUCGCCUGUGACGAAGCGUGAGUGACGGUAAUGGGUAAAGAAGCACCGGCUAACUACGUG